Molecule: long non-coding RNA, 18576 nt
Filed under: Populus tremula
Lineage: Eukaryota; Viridiplantae; Streptophyta; Magnoliopsida; Malpighiales; Salicaceae
Description: long non-coding RNA (PTRE_LNC003192)
Source: RNAcentral
CAUAACGCAAGCCAACAUCUUUCAAGUUCUCAUUUGGAUUUGAUGAUUGAAGAAUGAGCCCUUGUGCCAUCCAAAAUUGCACCAAUUCGAGAUCUGGGAAUAGGUAAUCUUUUGGAAAAACGGAACAAUAAAGAAAGCAUCUUUUCAAGUGAGUCGGUAGUCUUUGAUAGCUUAUUUUCAAGGCAGGUAAAAUGCCAUCUCCCUCUUCUUCCCACUUCUCGCUGUCUCUCACCGAUUUCCACUCUGUUUCAUCAGUCUUACCAUACAGUUGAGUCCCCAAGUUAAUCACUGCCAGAGGAACUUGCUUGCAUUUCGCCACUAUUUCUUUCCCAAUUCCAACCAAAUUUGGAUACAACUCCUUUUUCCCUUCCUUGAAUGCACACUUGUAAAACAACGACAGACAGUCCUCCUGACCAAGAAGACUUAGGUUGUGCGCAGCAACAGUACCCAUAAUCUCAGCAACACGUCGACUACGGGUAGUUACUAUAAUCUUACUUCCAGCAGCACCUUUUGAUAACAAAGUGUUCAACAACAACCAUUUUUUAGCUUCUUCAUUCCAAACAUCAUCCAAAAGAAGCAAGUAUUUCUUACCAUUCAAAAUUUCUUCAAGUUAAGCUCAACCUCAUUCAAAUCCGCACAUCUUUUCUCAGUUGCAGAGUCAAUAAUUUUUUGUAUCACUUGUUUCAAGGAAAAAUCAUCUGAAACACAUGCCUCCAUCUUCAGAUCAAAAUGACUUUUUACAUUUUCAGCAUCACACACCGAUUUGGCAAGAGAUGUCUUCCCCAAGCCUCCCAUUCCUACUAUCGAAAGGACAAGGGGAUGUGCAUCACCAACCUUAACAGGUGCUGCUAAAAGGUUGAUGAUGUGUUCUUUGUCUUUGUCUCUUCCGAUAAGACCGGAAAAGCUCUCAAAGGAUCGGUUCAUCUCUGUUUCCUCAUGCAAGACAUGACCACAAUCAAUAGCCUGCUCGCUGAGGUUGAAGUCAGACUUAAGAGAUGAAAUCUCAGCUAGUCUUUCUAUGAUGCUCUUUAUCUUAUGACCCAUUCUUAAACGGAAUGCAAUCUUAUUAGAGCUUGAAAAGAAGCGUCGUACCUUUCUGCUGGUGCUCCCUGUAGUUUUCACCACCAGCCUUCGCAAAGUUUCGCACUCGAUUUCGUCCAGCACGUCCUCUGCAUCAUACAAGACUUCUGUGAGAUCGUAGAGCCAGAACCGAAUCUUGUCAUUCUUUGAUUGUUUCUGCUCAGCAUCGGACAGCACUGCGGCGAUGGCUGACAAUCUCUUUUCAAGACGAGCAAUGUCAGCUUCAAGUCCCCAUGCCAAACGAAAUUCUUGAACAGCAAAAGAGCCUAACUUCCCUAAAAGGGAUUUUGCAAUCUCGGCAGCAAAAGCUUCUGCCAUUUUCUUUUUGAGUGAGGGGAGAAGUGUUUGAUAGGAAAAAAUGAUUGAGAUAAGAGUGGAGUUCUGCUUUCUUUCUUUUCUGAGUGGAGAGGAGAAGUCGUUGAGUCUUCUUAAUUAAAAUGUAAAAUGGCUCCAUGGAUCGCUUGUUUAAUUGGUUGUUCCCCUGUUCUCUUUCUUUUCUUUUCUUCAUUAUAUUAGCUAUCCUUAAUUGUUUUUUGAGUAGUUGACCAAGAAGUUAUGAAUCCACCCUACGUGGUUAUCUACUUAAUCUUAAUUUAUGUACCAAGUUGAGGAGGGAAAAUAAUAUAUAAUAAAUUAAAUACAUUGUUAACUUAUUUGAUACAUUAUAUUUAAUAUCAAUUGAAAUUGUGGCUCGGAAAACAGGGAUAUGUUUGUCAUUUAAUAACAUGGAGUUCCGCUUGAGAAGUCGUUGCUAAAAAGGAAGGAAGAUUAAUUUAUAGUGAUGCAACUGUGUUGCAGCUUCUCCCAUGGAAUAGUGACCACACAUGGUCGACCUGGGGAGAGUUUGAGCCAAUGAUGUUCAAUUCUAAACGCAUUUAAAAUAAAAUAUAACCUUAAAAGAAACAUUUUGAGAUCAACUCGCGCACAUAACGCAAGCCAGCAUGUUCCCAAGCUGUCAUUUGGACUUUUGAUUGAAUGAGUCCAUGUGACAUCCAAAAUUAUACGAGGGAGGGUGUUUUUUAAAAAAAUAUUUUAUUUGAAAAUAUAUUAAAAUAAUUCUUUUAUUUUAAAAAAAUAAUUUUAACAUCAACUCAUUAAAUAAAAUAAAAUAAAUAAAUAUUAAAUAAAAAUAAUAAAUUUUAAUAAAAUAUUUUUUGAAACUCAAUUCAAACAACAUCCUAAAAGUAGUAAUCUUUUGAAAAAAAUGUAACAACAAAGAAAGCAUCUUUUCAAGACCUGCAUAUAUUCUCACAAAUUUUCUAGAUUUUCACUCAUAGAUGAGUAAAGUUUGAAGAAAUUUCAAGCAACCAAUCCUAUCUUCUGGCAACCGUUUUUGCUUAGUACCAGGAAAUAAAUAUCUAAGGCUGAUGAUUAUAAUAAAAAUUAAAAUUAACAAAUAAUAUAAAUUGUUAGGGACUGAAAGUUUAUAAUUUUAAAAGUUAGAGGAUUAAAGUGUACGUUUAGCUCCAAAUUUAGAAAACAUCUCUCUUUUUGCCAUGUUUUCAUCUUAGUCUCCUAUAUGUUAAUCAUGUCCUUUCUUAAUAAAUUUACUUUAAUUGACCAUUAAUUUUGGCCUAUAAGGGUAGUAAUAAAAAAAAUAAAAAAGAAAAACCAAAAAGAAAAGAAAAGAUCAUUGUGGCAAUCCACAAUAAUUUGUUCCUUAAUGAAAAAUAGCAUGAGAAACAAUAUUUUCUUCAUGUCUUUUAGAGUAUUUCUUACUAUGCCAAUGAUCCUUGAGUUUCUUUAGUAAGUUAAAUGUCACUACUUGAUUUCCAGGCCCAUGAUCGGCAAUGUAAACAUAGCACCUCAAGAUGUCCCGCUUAAACUAAUACAUUUGAUAUCAUAAAAAUCAUAAAAUAGCGCAGUAUAAAACAAAAUAUCCAAAAUUGAGGAAUUCAAUAAAUAAAUAAAAAUCCAACUCUUUCAUAAAUAAUUCAAAACAUAAUUUAAAAUCAUUAUAUGAAGUAUCUAUGGAUAACAAAUAAAGAAUAAACUAUUGGCCUCAAGGAACAACGGGACAUUCCGACUCAAAGAAACAGGAAGAACACAACCAAAAGAUCUUGCUAUUAAAAUUGAACAAAAUACCUCAAAAAAAUGAAUUGAGGGGUAAUUAAGUCCAAACACUAUGUUAGAGGUAGCAACUAUAAUCAUGUUAAUAUAUACUUUAUGAUAAGUUAAUACGAUUACAUAAAUAAAAUACAAAACAAAACAUGUAUAUAAAAGGUAUUAUAUCAAAUGGUGUACAAAAGAAGUAUGUAUCAUAUUACUGACAUCCUAUAUAUAUAUAUAAUUGUGGGAGGUUAAUCCGCACAGUACUGACACUCUACUCGCCAUUAACAUGGAAUAACUAAUUACUCUUUAUUAGUCAAGAGUUUCUGACAGCGGUCUAAAUGGGGUAACAAGAAUCAUGAGCUCAAAUGAAGAAAUAACAUGAAUAUAGGAUUUAUGAUUUAUCAUCAAGAUUCAUAAUAUAAGCAUGGUCACUUCUGAACAAAUAUAAAGGAUAUAUGGACCGUGUUCAAAUCAAAUAAGAAUACAAUGAGUAUUUCAGAAGAAAACAGAAUAAUAAUAACCAUAACUAAUCAAACUUAUAUAGUCAACAAUUACAAUAAUACUCAUCAUUUCAUACCAAUACAUAUACACACACACACACACACACAAAUUAUCUCACUUACCCGGAAAAAAAAAAACAAAAAAACAAAAGAAAGCAAAUGAAAACGAAGCAAAUCGACUCACUGAAGAUCAACUAGAGUUGUAUCAACUAAACCUAUGUAAAGAAAUAAAAUAUAAAUUCAAAAACUACUAGAAAUUGAAUCCAAUAUACAAAACAAAUUAAACGACCCAAAAGACUCUAUUUCUCGUUAAAUGAUCGACCGAUAGGAACCAACCGGUCAACCAAAACAAGUCAGUUGACAGAUAAUAAGGGAAAUGAUCGACAACACCAAAAAAAGAUAGUCGGUCGACCUACCAAACACAACUCAACCGAUCGACUGCACCUCCUCAAUAGGUUGAUCGACAUAACAAAACAGAUUUUUCCUGCUACUGUAUCCACAAUUGGUUGACCACCCACACCUCAAACGGUCAACCACAAUGUAUGUUCAACAACUGGUCAACCUGUUUACUUUAACUAAUCAACCGCUUGAUCGGGAAAUCCAGAAUUUUGACUUGCAGUUUCAAUAUGAUUCUGCCAAGACACAACAAUAUGCCCAACAACAUCAAAACACUAUUUAACAAUUCUAGACUGUCCAAAACUUUUGCAUGAAGUUUAUUAAUAUGUUGUCUUGCCUUGAUUUAAGAUCUCAGCUCAAUUGGAGUUUAGUAAGGAAUAACUAUUUAAGCAGAAAAAUUGGAUAGUGUACAUGAAAAUAAAAUGAAAUACAUAAGAGCAUAAAUGAGGGAUAAAAUUAUAAUUAAUGGCAAAUUUACCUUUAAAACAGCAAAGAGACCAAAUAUUACAAAAAAAGAAAGUGAGGCAAUUGAGAAAAUUCAGCUAGAGAGAGAGAAGUGUAGAAUUUGGAGGAGCCAGCCUAAACAAGGCAGUAUGCUCUGGUGGUCAUAUAUCUGGCAUUAACAGUUGGAUCAUGCUUAUUUUCGGAUAUGAUUUUCUUCUCAAAUGCAUCUACUAACUGACUAAAGGAAUUUGAAAGAUUACUGUUUGUCAGAACUCGCCAUCGAAAUUAUCCUGGAAAACAAAAGGAAACACAACAUGUAAGGUAGUUUUGGUCAAUGGUCAUAUCUCCCGCAUCAACCGCCCAAAAACAUAUUUCUAACAUCCUAAACCCAAUAUUCAUGCUCAAUUCCAUCGUCAUCAUAGAAAAUUAUUAAAUUCCUCAAUUCAACAUACAAACCCUAACAUGUCUUCUACUGUUCAUAAUAUGAAAUUAAAGACAAAGUUUAGAAUAAUCUUACCUUGUUAUCAACACUCAAAAACCACAAAACAAAAUAAAACCUACCAAAAGUAAUGAUUGAUUAUUCAGAGUAAAGGAAACUUGAGAGAUGUUAGUGUGUUCUUAUGUUUUGCUUUUCUGAACAAUUAUUUCUUGUUUGUUUUUCUUUUCCGAAUAGGAAAACCCCUAUUUAUAAUUGGGUUUAGAUGCUAUGGCUGAACUUAUAUCGUCGGUGCAUGCUGGAAAUGAUAAUUCUACUUUGAUGCUGUGUGAAUUGAUAAACUUAAUUCCUGAACUCUCCUUGAUAUUUCGAUCCAUUGAAUUGGCAAGACUAGUAACAUUGUGUGAAAUGUUUUUCUUUUGAUCUUAACUACAAAUCAUACUUUCACUAAAUUCUGGAAAAUUCACGUAGUUCUGCUCAAUCGCCCAUCACUUGCCUAGAUUAGCUUUUUCUAAUCUGAAACUUACCCUGAUUACUUUAAAUGAUAAUUUCCAACCGCCAACAAAGUAAGCAAUUUCAUAUUAGCUUAUAAAUGAAAAUUGCCACUAGGAUAGAAGCUAACCUGAAGAGUGUGGAGUCUAGAUUCUAGUUUUCAACUAUAUAUACCUUUCAUCUUCAUCCAUCUGUAGAAUGCACACCCUGCUGCAAUAGAAGUGCUUUCUGAGUCAAAGAUGGACAAGACGACAAAACGCAUAUGUGAAAUACCUACAGAUCAUCAAAUUCAAGCUGGUCCAUUCGUUUGGUCUCUUCUUUUAUUCUGUCCCACUUAAGAUUAUCAUUAAUCAGGUGUUAUUAAGGCUAAACAUAGACUUCAAAACAGAGCUCACAACACCACCCCUGCCUCCACUGCAAGCUGCAUGAGAUAGAAAAGGAGGGGGGAGAAACUGGGUAUUCCUCGAAAUUCUUAAAAUAUAUUUUUUUGAAAUAUUUUUUAACUGAAAUAUUUUCUUCUCGUUGAAAUAUAUAUUUUUAGAUAUUCAAGAGCGGCUAAAAAUCGCGUUAUAAUAACAUAAAUAAAGAAGAUUUGGAAAGUGGAUGUGAAGAGGUGAAUUUAUCAAGGAAAGAGUAGGGGGUGGUUGAAGUGGUCUAGAGAGUGAAGGCGGCGACGUCAAUGGUUGCUGAUGGUAGUAAGCGAAGAAAAGAUUGAGGGAAUGAAUGAAUCAUGGUCAUAAAAACAGACAAAGGAAAGAAAGAGAGGAAGAAUCCCGGCAUUCAGUCACAUGCAGCUAUAAUAUUGGAAGGUAAGCAAAGAUUCAACAACAUAAAUACACAAAAUUUUGAGUGCUAAAAACAAGAAGGUUGAGGGGAUAACAGUGAAGGUGAAGAUGACAGAGAAUGUCCAUUUCUGGGAAUGAAUGAUAGUUGAGAUAAGGCAAAUAUGUGUGGCGGAAUAGCUUUAAAUCUUGGCCUAGAAGCAAGGAAAAUGACAUGAACGAAACAAAAAGGAGCACUCCUUGUCUUAAAGCAGGAUAACGAUGAUUAGAUGAAUUUUUAAAAUUUUCAAAACAGAGCUCACAACACCACCCCUGCCUCCUCUGCAAGCUGCAACCUGGUUUCGUUUAAUAUUUUAGCAAUAAAAUCCAGUGUGACAAUAACCAGGUCUGAGUAAAUGUAUUACAAAUGGAAGAGCACCAUAUACAGCUCCAAAUUCUAUAUGACAAUCUCUACCACUAUCAUAUAUUUGGGCCAAACACGCCAAGGUAUCAAUUCUACAUGUAGUUCGGUUUUGUAUUUUAAAAAUGUUAUUAACAAAUUUUGAAUUUUUUAAUUUUUUUUAUUAUUUAAAUUAUUUUUAUAUUUUUAGAUCGUUUUAAUAUAUUAGUUAAUAAUAAAUUUUUUAAAAUAAAAAAUAUUAUUUUAAUAUACUUCUAUAUAAAAAAUACUUUAUCAAACAUCCUUUUAUUAUCUGUAUAUCCAUUUGAUUCACCAUUUUCAGCCUUGCCAGGUAAAACUCAAUCUUACAAUAAGAGAACUUUUAGGACUCCUUUUGGAAAUCAAUUUCUUCUGAUGCAUGUUUUCUAUUCUAUUUUCUAUUUUUUUAAAUAUUUUUUUAUUGACAUAAUGGCGCCGAUUUAAUUAAUUAAAUUCACUCAAAAUCAAAACUUUAAAUUAUUUACAAAAUCACAAAUUAACACAUAAAUUAAUAAUAAUAAUAAUAUUUAAAUUGAAGUUUAUUUUUAAAGUGAUGCAACCGUGUUGUAGCUUCUCCCAUGGAAUAUUGACCAAACAUGGUCGAACUCAUUUGGGGAUUUGGGGAGAGUUUGAUGAAAAAAUGAAAUAGAAUCAGUAACUGACAAAUGACGGGUCGUUUUGGAAAAUCGGUGGUUUUGAGAGCUUACGAUUGAAAACUCAUUUUGAGCCAAUGAUGAUGCAAGAUCAUGCAUUUUAAAGGUAGCCAAGGGAAUUGCUUCCUCAUAAUCUUUUCAAGUGUGUCGGCGGUCUUCGGUAACUUACUUUCAAAGUUAGCCAAGGUAAAAUACCAUCUCCCUCUUCUUCCCACUUCUCACUAUCUCUCACCGAUUUCCACUCUUUUUCAUCAGUAUUACUAUAAAGUUGAGUCCCCAUGUGAUUUUAAUCACUGCCAAAGGAAUUUGCUUGCAUUUCUCCACUAUUUCUUUUCCAUUUCCAACCAAAUUUGGUUGGAAGUUGGAACUCCUUUUUCUCUUUUUUUUUUUUUUUUAACUGAAGAUAUCCGGGUUAGCUUACACGUACCUCAAUUAAAAUCACUCGAGACCCUGAUAUUAAUAGUCAUGUAAAUUUUCAAUAACCAUGAGAUUUAUAGCACUUAAACUGAUAAUAUCUAAAUAACAAACUUAAAAUUUAAUCUAUUAAAUUACACAUUUCAGAGUUUUAAAACAACAACAGCUAGUGCUGUAAUUUUUAAAAAAAAAAUACACUUGCAGCGGUGUGGGGGACAAACUAUCGAGUUAGUUUUGCCCUUCCUUGAUAAUUUUUUUCUUUUUUAAAAAAGAUACAUUUACAAUGCUGUCAUUAUUAUUUUUACGCUUUUAAAAUAAUCAAGUUGGCUUACAGCGAAGCAUGGACAAACUUUUUAAAAGUUUCGUUGAUUACUAACUACAUAUUUAUCAAGUGAACCCUUUUAUAAUCAAACUAUCAUUUUUUCUUUUUUCUUUUGUAAGUUUUUCAUAACCAGAUGUAAAUAUUCUACUAGACGUAUUAUAAACGUAAAAUACAACAAUUCAAUAAUAUAUAAAAUAUACUAAAUUAGAAAAUUGAGAAAAAAAACCAUGAAAUAAAAGUUGAAAGCAAAUUGACGCAGCAGGCAACACAGAGAUUGUACGUAACUUCUAAUUAGUUGUUUGCUUGCAAUAUUUGUCGUUGUAAAUUAUGAAAUGGCUACUUGGGAUGCUAUUUGUGUGGGGAAGUGAGACUUUUUUUCAUUUAGGUGAUGGAGUAUUUAUAUAAUUGACUAAUCUAACGUGUUGACAGGUUCAGGCUACAUUAUGAAACACAUGGACCCGCAAGGGUCCCUUUGCUUUUAUACAAGUAAUUGUACACAGUCACCCACUAUUACAAAGAAAACCUAAAUGAAUGGGAAAAGUAUUGUACUGUUACAAUGUUUUUUUAGUUUGUUUUUUUUAUAUUAUUUGUUUUUUUUUGUUAUGAUUUUUUAAAAAAAUUAUUUUUGCUUAUUUUAUUUUUUAAUAUUGAAAUGGUUGAAAAUUUAGUUUUGUAAUUUUUUUACUUUGUUUUUUCUAAUAAUUUUUUAUUUUUUGUUAUGAUUUCAAAAAAAAAAAUUUCUUAUUUUAUUUUUUAAUAUUGAGAUGGUUGAAAAUUUAGUUUUGUAAUUUUUUUUUAUGAGGUUAACAUAAUUUGUGGAUUUGUCAAGGUAACUUGAAUUGAUCUAGGUCAACCCAAGUUAAUUUGCCAAAUUCAUGACCUGUAUUAUGAGACCAUGAUAACUUCAUAUAAAACAAAUCAAAAUAAAUUAAGAAGCUCAAUUCUCAAUCAACUCAAUAUUAAGGAAUGAAAUUGAAAAAAAAAUUUAAUCUGAGUUAACCUGCUAAACUCGUGACUUGAGUUAGGAAAUCGAGAUAAUCUCAUAGAAAGUAAACAAAAAAAUCAUCCGAGUCAGCUCAGGUUAACUUUCCACGCCCGCUCAGGUUAAAGAAAAAUAAACUCGAGUCAACUGGGUUAACCCGCCAGACAUAUGACCCGAGUCAUGAGAUCGAGACAACCUCAUAAAAAACAAACUAAAAUAAAUCAUGAAGUCUAAUUCAUAAUCAACCUAAAGUUUAAUGGUGAAAUUCAGAAAAAAAGUGUCAAUUAUAAGGUUGUAUAGUAAAAAAAUGUUAAUUCAUUUUAACUUGUUAUGAAAAAUGAAAUUAGAAGAAUAAAAAUAAUUAUAGAAAAAAAAACAAAAAAAACUACUAUUAAAAUGAAUAGUAUUUUAUAAGGCUGUAUAGUAAAAACAUCAUUUUGUUAUGCCUAGUAGAGAGACUAAUUCGACCGGUUUUUCUAAAAUUUUGAGUAUUUUUUAAAAAAGAUUCAAAAUAAUAUUUUUUUGUAUUUUAUAAAUAUUUUAAUGGGAAAAUAUAAAGAAAAAAAUAUCUGAAAUUUUUUUUAAUAUAUUUUUUUAAAAAAACAAUCUUUAAAAAAUACCCUACACCAAAAAAAAAAAACUGCCUUAUUUUCUGAUAUGUGUUUGAAUUAUUGUCUUUGGCAUGGACCUUAUCUUUGACCAUUGAAAUUUAUUUUAAUUUUAAAAGCUCUUUUUGGUGGAAUUUAUGUGCUUUUACUAGUGCACUAAAUGCACCCAUUUUGAAUAAAGGAGCUUAGCCGGUGCACUUCUUUGGCUCGGACCCGCAUCUUUGACCAUUGUUUGCCCUUAUUUUAUUUUUACUCUAAAGACAUAUUUGUUUUUUAAAAAGUAAUUUUUGAAAAAUUAUUUUUUAAAUUUUUUUGUGUUUAUUUGUAAUUAAGAAAGUUGGUCAACAAAAAACACUUUCCGAUCAACGAAAAACACUUUCUACUCAAUGAAAAAUACUUUCCAGUCAACGAAAAAUACUUUCCGGUCAACGAAAAAUACUUUUCAGUCAAAGAAAAUUUUGGCUUGGUUUUUAGAAAAGUGUUUUUCCUUUUAGCUGUGUUUGUUUUCUAGAAUGUGGUUUCUGAAAAAUCACUUUCCAAACUUUCUUAUAUUUGUUUGCCAUUAGAAAAGUUAGUUAACGGAAAACACUUUCCAGUAAAAGAAAAAUUUGGCUUGGUUUUCAGGAAAGUGUUUUCCUAGAAAAUUUAGAAAUGUCAUUAUUUACUGAUUAUAUCAAAUUUGAUCCUCAAACUUUUGAUUGCUAUAUAUAUUUUGUUUUGAAUAUUUAUUUUUCAAUUUCAUCUCUUAAAAUUUUAUUUUUAUAUUAACUUUGGUUUUUAUUUUUAUAAUUGUUAUUUGCUUUUUUCUUAUUGAAAUUUUUUAUCUAUCAAAUUUGGUCCUCAUUCUUUUGAUUGUUACUUAUUUUAUUUGAAAUAAUUUAUGAAAUGUUGAUUAUUAUUAUUUUAAUUUCUUCAUCUUUUAUUUAUUUUUAUUUUUUAGAUUUGUUCUCUAUUAUUUUGAUUAUUAUUUAUUUUAUUUGAGAUAAUUUAUGAAAUUUUAUUUUUUUUCAAUUUCAUUCUCAUUCAACUUUUUAAUUGGUAAGAUUUGUUCCUUAUUAUUUUAAUAAACUUGAGAAAAAUAAAAUAUUAAUAAGUUAUUUUCCAGCUUAUUUUCCAUGACAUAAUCAAAUACUGGAAAGUAUUUUCUAACUUAUUUUUCAUUACACUACCAAAUAUUAGAAAAUACUUUCUCGAAAUUUACUUUUCUGGAAUUCACUUUCUCCAAAUUUAUUUUUCAAAAAAAAAUACUUUCUAGCAAAUAAAUAAAACUUAAAAAUGCUUGAAUUAAUUUAUUAAAUUUAUGAUUUGAAUCAGAUGAUUGAUAUAAAUUUAUAAAUAAUUAAAUUCUUAUUAUGAGUGCAUUACAGCUGCGGAGCAUCUUUGAUCAUUGUUUGCUUUUUUUACUAUAAAGUUUGUGGAUGGGUCCGUAGAAUUUGGAUGAGCCCCUAACUUUUGCAAAGAGAGCAAACAGUUGUUUUUUCGUUUUGUAGUGAGUUAAUUAUUGCCUACAAAUAAUUGUUUAGGGUGUUUUUUUUAGUUUUGAAAAAUUGUUUAGAAAUAUACUAAAAUAUUUUUUUUAUUUUUAAAAAAUUAUUUUUGAUAAAUAAUCUAAAAAUAUAAAAUAUUUUAUUUUAGAUAAAAAUAAAUCAAACACACCCUUAUUAUAAGUGCAUUACAGCUAAGGAGCAUAGUAAAUUCUGAGUAUUGAUAUCACCCUUUACUUUAUUCCGUAAUGUAAUUUCAGAAAUUUUACAUGGUUUGUUAUUUAUUUAUUUUUUGUUUUUUAUUAUAAUUUUUUAAAAAAAUUAUUUUUUCUGAUUUUAUUUUUUUAAUAUUAAAAUAGUUGAGAAUUUAAUUUUAUAAUCUCCUUUUCUUUUAUUUUUUAUAUGAGUUAGCAUAACUUGCAAGUUUGUUGAGGUAACACAAGCUAUCUCAUUUUAUAGAUUUGAUGGGUUUUUAAUUGAACUUGACUUCCUUAUUCUAUUUUUUCUCAUAUUAUUAAAAAAUAGUUUUAGAGAAAAACUAUGUUAUUAAAUUUUAUGACGUAUUAAAAAUUAAAGGAUAUAAGAGAAACCACUAUUCUCCCAAUUGCACUAAGGAUUACAAUAGUAAUCCACACUUUUUUGCUUUCUUUUUUCUUUUGGUGUUUUUUUGAAUUAUUGUUAUGAUUUUUUUAAAUAUAUUUUUGUUGAUUUCGUCUUUUAAAUUGACAUUGUUAAGAAUUUAGCUUCAUAAUUUGCUUCUUUUUAUUUUUUUUAUAUGAGGUUAACGUGAUUUGCGGGUUUGCUAAGGUAAAUGAGGUUGCUCUGGUUUUUAAGUUUGGUGAAUUGUCUUUUUUUUAAUUGAAUUUAACUUUUUUUAUAGUCUGUUUUUUUCUCAUACAGUUAAAAAAUAGUUUUAGAGAAAAGUCAAGUUAUUAAACUUUAUAAAGUAACAAAAAUUAAAGGGUGUGAGACAACCAUUGUACACCUACACACAUUGCACUGUGAAUAAGAAUAAUAGCCCACAGUGUUUUACUUUAUUUAUUUUUUUCUUUAUGUUUUUGAAUUUUUGUCAUGAUUGUUGUUUCGAAUUUGUUUUUAUUGGUUUUAUAAUAUUAGGAUGGUUAAUAAUUUAGUUUCAUAAUUUGUUUCGUUUUAUCUUACUUUUCUAUAAGAUUAACAUGGUUUGAGAAUUUGUUAGGGUAAUCCCGGUUGCCCUGGUUUAUGAGUUUGGUGGAGUGUUUUUUUUUUAAUUGAACUUAAAUUUUUUUAUCGUCUAUUUUAUUCUCAUAUAGUUAAAAAAAAAAAAUUCAGAAAAAAGUUAUGUUAUUAAACUUUAUAGAGUCCAUGGAUCUAUUCACAGGUUUGGUUGAUUGACUUGGUUCGCGGGUCUAACAAAUUUAACUUUUUUAAAUUAGUUUUUUUUUCAUCCUUAGAUACUAAAUUAAUUAGGAAUUUAAUUUCAUAAUUGGUUUUCUUUUGCCUUUUAUAAAGUUAUCGUAAUCUAAAAAACAUCUCAUUAUUGGGAUUGUAUUUGAUUUUAUAAUCAUCUAUUUUUGUUAUUUGUAUAGUUAAAUAAAAAAUAGAUUACAAUUUUUUUUUUAUAAUCCUAGUGGAGUUUAUAACUCAAUUCACAUGUUUGACGUACUAGCCCGGCUUACCAGAUUCAUAGGUUUGAUAAGUUUACCCACCAAUAUAAUAUAUUUUUUUUUGUCUUUUAAUUUAUUUUUUCUCAAUUUUAUCAUUUAAUAUUGAAUUGAUCGAGAAAUGGACUGUAUUAUUGAUUUUUGUUUGCUUUCUAAAGAUAGUCAUAUUAAAUAAAUAUUUAUUUUUAGAUUAGUAUUUAAUUUUGUAAGCAUUUGUUUUCUGAUAUGUGUUUGAUUUAUUAUCUUUGGCACGGACCCUUAUCUUUGACCAUUGAAAUGUAUUUUAAUUUUAAAAGUUUGUUAUGAAUUAAAUUUGUUUUGAUUUUCUAUAUCAUUUUAAUUAAAUUAAAUUAGGGUUGAAUCAUAAUUCCACCCUUGAUGUUAUUACUUAAUCUUUACUUAUAUACCAAAAUCUCAAGCUGCUGAAGAGUGAAAAUAUUGUUUAACAAAUCAAGUAUGUUCUUAACUUAUUUGAUUAUUUAGGCCUUGUUACUUUUUCUAUUUUAAAAACAUUUUAAAAAAAAAUUAAUUUUUUUUUAUUUUUUUCUUUACUUGAAAUUAAUAUUUCUUUUUAGUAUUUUCUUAUCAUUUUAAUAUAAUGAUGUCAAAAUAAUUUUUAAAAAAUAUAAAAAAAUAAUUUUAAUAUAUAUUUUUUAAAAAAUACUUUAAAAAAUAAUAAUGAUUAUACUCUCAAAAACAUUAUUCACAACAAAACUAUAUAAAAAGGGUAACGGUGUGAGUUUAUCAAAAUUUUGUUGGGAUAUUAGAUUCAUGGAUUUUUAAGAGUUUUAAUAGGCUAUGACCCAAUAGUGUUUGGGCCAUGGCCCAAACUAGUCCUAAAAUAUUUUCUUUUGAGCAUUGCCAGGGAGAAAAAAUAAAUGAAAAUUUUAUCCUUACUUUGUGGUGAUUGAAGGAACGAAUGUACGAUGGUCAUCAAAUCUUUUACUUUGAAAAAAAUCUUCUAAAGAAUCUAUUCUUUACUUAGAACUUCCUAAGCAAUAAGCACAAUAGCAUAAACAAUCCUUGUAGAAAAGCAAGUGGUGUCUCUCAGAAUCUGAAAUGUAUCGGAGAUCAAAGAUGAUCAUGACGUAUCCUAUCUUAUGUACUUUCUCAAGAGUUUUUAAUUAUAAUAGUGAUGAUGCUAAUUAAUUUUAUUUAGGUUAAAAAUUAGAUUUAAAAAUAUGAUAAAAAAUAGAAUAGAAAGUCCUGCUAUUAAUGAAAAACAAUCACGAAAUUUGCAUUUAGAUCUUAUUUGAAAAAAUAAAUAGGUUAAAAUAUAUAACCUGUUGCUUUAGUUUACGAGUUUGAUGGUGUACUUUUUUUAAUUGAACUGGACUUUAUUAAUAUUUUUUUUAUAUAGUUAAAAAAAUAGUUUUAGAAAAAAAAAUAUUAUUAAACUUUAUAAAAUCCAUGGAUCUAUUCACAACUUUAGUAUAUUACAAGUUACAUGACCCGCGCGAUGCCACGGGUCAAUUUUUUUUUUUUGCAUUAAAAAUAUAUAAAAAAAACUAAGAUUUAAAAGUGUUAGGUCUUUUUACAAAUUUAUAUCUAAGAGUCUUGGGUUUGGCUGCAACGUUUGACCCAGGAGUAAUAUUUAUAAUAACAUUAAGCUUGCAUGACCCAAGUUUAUGUGGGUCUGGCUAAAAUACCAGAUCCAAUAGGCUUGGAUAUAGGUAUGGCUGUAAGGUCGUGUCAUAAAAAUGUGAUAAUUAAAUAGAUUAAUUAAAAAGAAAAAAACAAAGAAAAAAAACCAACAACAAGAAAAAAACUAAUGAAGAAAAAGAAAAAAAAAUUGAAUCAACUGGGUUAACCCUUCAAACCAAGUUAAUCCGUCAAACCUAGGAUUCACGUCAUGAAAGUUUGAUAAUUAAAUAGGAAAAAAAAAUUGACGGGUUUUCCCAGAAUUAACUGGGUUAACCCGUCAAACUAGGUUAAUCCAUCAAGUCCGCGAUCCGUGUCAUGAAAAUUUGAUAAUUAAAUAAAAAGAAAUAUAGCAUUAACAAACUAAAUUAAACGAAAAAAAUUAAUUAAAAACAAAAAAACAAAAAAAAUAAUAAUUAUGAGUUAACCUGUCAAACCAGGUUAACUCGUCAAACCAGGGAUUCGUGUCAUGAAAGUUUGAUAACUAAAUAAAAAAACUUAACAUUAACAAACUAAUUUUAAAAAAAAAUUCAUUGAAAGAAAAAAACACAAAGAAAAAAGCAAAAAAAAAAAAAAAACCGUAAAGGCAUAAAAAACAAAAAAAACCGUAAAGGCAUAAAAAACAAAAAAAAACAAUUUUUUUUUUUUAAAAAGAUAGCUCAGUUUUUCACUGCAGACUGUAUUGUGCAGUGCACAGUGAAAUAUAAAGCAAUUUUAGUAUAUGUUAUAAUGUAAUUUCUUAUGCAUUUUUUCUAUUCUUUUUUCAAUUUUUUUAACAUAUUUGUUUAUUGAUAAAAUAACACGGUUGCAUUUAAGUUUUGUUUUUUUAAUUCAAAAUGACAACAUUUUGAAUUGCAGCAAAAUUUCUUUUUUUAAAGGUCCCUUAAGUUUGGUGUCUUUUCAAGUUUGGUUCUUGCAUAUUUAAUUGUUUUAUUUUUGUCCAAUUUCAACCCUUUUUUCUUUAUUUUUUCUCAACUUCAUCUUGAUUGCAUUACAUAUAGUCCUUAAAUAUUGAUGUGUUUUUCAAAUUGGUCCUUAGCUUUCCAAUUUUCAAUUAUAUAACGAAUUUCAAUCUCCCCACUGAUAGUAAUUUUUCUCUUUUUUUUUGUUUUUUUUUGAAAUAUUUGUUAAUUGAAAUAUUUUUUUCUUGUUAAAAUAUAUUUUUUAGAUAUUUAAGAAGGGUUAAAAAUCGUGUUAUAAUAACAUAAAUAAAGAAGAUUUGGAAAGUGGGUGCAAAGAGGUGAAUUUAUCAAGGAAAGAGUAGGAGGUGGUUGUGGUGGUCUAGAGAGUGAAGGCGGCGACGUCAAUGGUUGCUGUUAGCAGUAAGCGGUGGUAUGUUAUUUUUUUUCAGGCGGCGACGUCAAAGUUUGCAAGAGUGUUGCUUGCCUCAGGUAGAGUAGACAAAUAUAACGGGAGUCCUCCCUUCUCUCUUGGUUUGCAAGGAUAAGUUCCGUUAAUUGUCCGAAUUAGAAUGAAGACGUAAUUAGAGUUAGGUUAACUUCAAUAAUGGGAGAUUAAUUUGAGAAAUAUUUUAAUAAUAGGUACAUAGAAAUAUAAGAAACAGAAAUAUAUCAAGUCAUCUAUCACAAGCAUCUAUGAAGUUUCUAAAAACUAGAAAAUUUUCUAACAUUAUAAAGAAGGUAUGGGAAGAGGAUGUUUCACAUUCAUCAGAGAACAUCAUAGAGAUUCUCCUAAUGCAAUCGUCGACUUUAUUGGAAGAAUCAAAUCACUGAAAUAUCAUAGGUUCAGCAUAAGAAGCAAGAUAGAUCCAACAUAUCUAAUAUAAAACUGUAUGGCAAAAAGUUUACUUUUCCGAAGCGAAAUAAAAACAGAUAUAGGAAACAGAGGAAGAAUCCCGGCAUCAUCUGCCUUGUGAUAAUCUUUCAACAACAUCUCAAAAAACAAAAACAAAGAAAAUACAGAACCGAAACAUAAAUCUCCGUUAAACAUCAACCCAAAUUGCUUAAUUUCAACCACUUGUUUUACAUCGUUGAAACUACUAGGAACUGCCUACAUUAUACCUAACCCAAAAAAUUAGCCUACGAAACAGACAUAAAUUCUUCAAAAUCGAAAAUAAACAGACGUGCACAAGCAAAUAAAAUCCUUCAUUUUCUACAUGAUUUCAAUACCCUCUUUGCGAAUUUAAUUAAUUAAAUUCACUCAAAAUCAAAACUUUAAUUUAUUCACUAAAUCACAAAUUAAUUAACACAUAAAUUAAAAAUAGUAAUAAUAAUAAAAUUAACUUCAUAAAAUUAACAAUAUUUUAAAUAAGAUAAGUUGAACAAAAUAAAGAGACAAGCCAAUAAUUCAGAACAACCAAAUGUUUAUAAAUUUAUUGAUGACAAAUCAUCACACACACCUAGCCAAGGAAAUUACACAUAGCAGACACUCCGAGCCUUAAGCAGUUAAUCUGAUCUUCAUAAGUGACAAACUGUUGAAGAAGAUCUUAGCCGACAGGACCCUCACAGUACUAAACCUGAAGAAAUUAGAUAAAAAUAGAAUUUAAUAAUAAUGUAUUAAGUUCAAAGACAUUCAAAUUGCUGAAUGAAUUAGUCAACUUUGCAUUUUAUCAUGACACGACAUGCCUUGUCUUGUUCUUUUGCUCUGGUUAAAUCUGAUGGAGUUCCACUUGAACCUGCCCCUCCAAAACACAAGAGGUUUUGUCAAAUAAACAUUGAAAAGAAUUUAAAAGAGAAAAAAAGGAAUUGAAGAAUGGAUAAAAAUGUGAAACUAAAUAUGAUAUAUUUAAAUACUUAACCCGUACCUAAUCAGAUGUUUCUUCACCACUAUCAUCAUCGUCAACCUUGAUUUUAGGGAUAUGCUUGAUCUUGGGCCAAUCUUCUCCUGUUCCCCUUAUGCACCUUUUGCUCAACCUUGGACAAUCAAUGAUCUCAAGAUUUUGAAGUUUCUUUAAAUUGCUGAUGCACUCGGCAUUUCUCUAAUGUUUGGACAGUCUCUGAUGAAAAUGUUUGUAAGGAUUCUGCAGAUCCUUGAAAAAGCUGUUCUGGUAAAGCAAUAGUUGCUGGUAAGUCAAAUAUUACAAUACGAAGGGAAAGGGAAAGAGGUUGAAUUUUUCCUCUUUCUCUUCUUCUAUUGUCAUCAAAUCAAGCUUUUCACACUUUAUAAUAAAUAAUUCUUCCAAAGUAAUUAGGCAUUUUAUUCUUGGCAGAGAAAUCAAGCUAUCACAUUCAAAAAUAACCAAUUUUCGAAGACUUUUAAGAACUUGCAUAUCUUCGCACAAAUAUUCUAGAUUUUCACAAUGGGCAAUGAAUAAAGUUUGAAGACACUCCAAACACCCGAUCCCACCUUCUGGCAACCGCUUUUGCUGAGUAACUAGAUAUAGAAAUCUAAGGCUGAUCAUGUACCGCACAUCUUUCGGCAGCUCUUCUAAUCCCAAACCUAUAAGCAGAGCUUGCAAGUUUUGCAAUUUGAAAAUAGAUUUUGGGAGUCUUUUUAUUUUUGCGUUGCUUCUAAAAUAGAGAUAUCUCAAAUGUUUCAAGGCGCCAAUUCUCUCCGGAAAAGCCUCAAAUUCAGAAUCAUCCAAUAAUUCCAAAGACCGCAAAUGCUUAAAUUCUGACAAACAUUUUUCAAAGUCUGUUUUGCAUGUAGACCCCACUAUACUAUCUACAAAGACUAUUGACCGCACUUGAUGGAAGUUGUUUGGGAACUUGAGGAGAGUUUUAUGAAAAAAUAAAUCAGAGUCAAGAACUGUCAAAUGGCGGGUCGUUUUGGAAAUUUGGUGGUUUCGAGAGCCAAUGAUUGAAAACUCAUUUUGAGCCAAUGAUGAUGCAAGAUCAUGCAUUAAAUCAUGCAUCUUAAAGUAAGCUGAAACAAUCGUAACUACAUAAUCUUGGAAGAAACAUCUUGAUAUCAACUCGCGCACAUAACGCAAGCCAAAAUCUUCCAAGUUCUCAUUUGGAUCUGAUGAUUGAAGAAUGAGCCCAUGUGCCAUCCAAAAUUGCACCAAUUCGAGAUCUGCAAAUAGGUAAUCUUUUGGAAAAACCGAACAAUAAAGAAAGCAUCUUUUCAAGUGAGCCGGCAGUCUUUGAUAGCUUAUUUUCAAGGCAGGUAAAAUGCCAUCUCCCUCUUCUUCCCACUUCUCACUGUCUCUCACCGAUUCCCACUCUUUUUCAUCAGUCUUACCAUACAGUUGAGUCCCCAUGUUAAUCACUGCCAGAGGAACUUGCUUGCAUUUCGCCACUAUUUCUUUCCCAAUUCCAACCAAAUUU